ACCUCGUGGUUUGGACAUUUUGCUAAUUUUCCAUUGAAUCUCUCCCAUGCUUCAAACAAUGACUCCCGGUCCAGUUGCCUAAAAUUUAUGAUCUCAUCUCGAAUUU
Non-coding RNA from Capsicum annuum, 106 nucleotides. NCBI's taxonomy places the organism in Eukaryota, Viridiplantae, Streptophyta, Magnoliopsida, Solanales, Solanaceae. The record is from Rfam.